UGAAAAAGUAUGUUCAGGUAAAUGAUGUAAAUGAAGUGAGAGUGAGUUUGCAUUGUGUUGUCAUGCUUCAGUGAUGUGUGAGUGUUUAUAGUGCUGUGAGUUUAACACUUCAUGACUGAGAUCAGAACAGAACAGAAUCUUCAUCAUCACACAAACCAAAAGAACAACAAUGACUUUCAUCAUCAUCUUCAUCUGGACUCUUUCAGUUUUUAUUCUGGAAUCGAGAGGAGUAACUCUGACUCAACCUAAAGAAAAAAGUGUUCAACAAGGACAAACAGCUACAAUAGAGUGUCAUAUAGAUGUAGGAAUAUAUAGCGACCGUUUAGCCUGGUACUUACAGAGACCUGGAGAAACUCCUAAACUCCUCAUAUAUUAUAUAAAUACUCGUCAGUCAGGAACUCCAUCAAGAUUCAGUGGCAGUGGAACAGCAAACACUGGAAAAGAUUUCACUUUGACCAUCAGUGGAGUUCAGACUGAAGAUUCAGGAGAUUAUUACUGUCAGAGUUUACAUUAUAUCAGCAGUAGCUAUGUGUACACACAGUGA
Non-coding RNA from Misgurnus anguillicaudatus (oriental weatherfish), 544 nucleotides. NCBI's taxonomy places the organism in Eukaryota, Metazoa, Chordata, Actinopteri, Cypriniformes, Cobitidae. The record is from the annotation of a RefSeq genome assembly.